RNAcentral lists this ribosomal RNA (492 nucleotides) under uncultured bacterium. RNAcentral's name for it is "partial 16S ribosomal RNA". It matches the Rfam family "Bacterial small subunit ribosomal RNA", at positions 28 to 507 of the family's 1533-position model. The record is from RNAcentral.
GACGAACGCUGGCGGCGUGCUUAACACAUGCAAGUGGAGCGACGAACCAGGGCUUGCCCUGGGGCAGAGCCGCGAACGGGUGAGUAACACGUGGGUAACGUGCCCCGAUGACUGGGACAACCCGGGGAAACCCGGGCUAAUACCGGAUGUGCCCCCUCACAUCAGUGAGGUGUGUAAAGGAAGCUUCGGCCUCCGCAUCGGGAUCGGCCCGCGGCCCAUUAGCUUGUUGGUGAGGUAACGGCUCACCAAGGCAGCGAUGGGUAGCUGGUCUGAGAGGACGAUCAGCCACACUGGGACUGAGACACGGCCCAGACUCCUACGGGAGGCAGCAGUGGGGAAUCUUGCGCAAUGGGCGAAAGCGUGACGCAGCAACGCCGCGUGGGGGAAGACGGCCUUCGGGUUGUAAACCCCUUUCAGUUGGGACGAAGGUCGGGCGGUUAACAGCCGUUCCGGCUGACGGUACCUUCACAAGAAGCCCCGGCUAACUACGUG